RNAcentral lists this ribosomal RNA (435 nucleotides) under uncultured bacterium. RNAcentral describes it as "partial 16S ribosomal RNA". It matches the Rfam family "Bacterial small subunit ribosomal RNA", at positions 28 to 507 of the family's 1533-position model. The record is from RNAcentral.
GGCGAACGCUGGCGGCAGGCUUAACACAUGCAAGUCGAGCGGGCAUAGCAAUAUGUCCGCGGCAGACGGGUGCGUAACGCGUGGGAACGUACCUUUUGGUUCGGAACAACUGAGGGAAACUUCAGCUAAUACCGGAUAAGCCCUUACGGGGAAAGAUUUAUCGCCGAAAGAUCGGCCCGCGUCUGAUUAGCUAGUUGGUGAGGUAAUGGCUCACCAAGGCGACGAUCAGUAGCUGGUCUGAGAGGAUGAUCAGCCACAUUGGGACUGAGACACGGCCCAAACUCCUACGGGAGGCAGCAGUGGGGAAUAUUGGACAAUGGGCGCAAGCCUGAUCCAGCCAUGCCGCGUGAGUGAUGAAGGCCCUAGGGUUGUAAAGCUCUUUUGUGCGGGAAGAUAAUGACGGUACCGCAAGAAUAAGCCCCGGCUAACUUCGUG